AUUGAACGCUGGCGGCAUGCUUUACACAUGCAAGUCGAACGGCAGCGCGGGCUUCGGCCUGGCGGCGAGUGGCGAACUGGUGAGUAAUGCAUCGGAACGUGCCCAGUCGUGGGGGCUAGCCCGGCGAAAGCCGGAUUCAUACCGCAUACGACCUGAGGGUGCAAGCGGGGGACCGCAAGGCCUCGCGCUAUUGGAGCGGCCGAUGUCGGAUUAGCUAGUUGGUGGGGUAAAGGCUUACCAAGGCGACGAUCCGUACCUGGUCUGAGAGGACGACCAGCGACACUGGGACUGAGACACGGCCCAGACUCCGACGGGAGGCAGCAGUGGGGAAUGUUGGACAAUGGGGGCAACCCUGAUCCAGCCAUGCCGCGUGCGGGAAGAAGGCCUUCGGGUUGUAAACCGCUUUUGUUCGGGAAGAAAUCCUCUGGGCUAAUACCCCGGGGGGAUGACGGUACCGGAAGAAUAAGCACCGGCUAACUACGUG
This 484-nucleotide ribosomal RNA is filed under the name uncultured bacterium. Its description in RNAcentral is "partial 16S ribosomal RNA". It matches the Rfam family "Bacterial small subunit ribosomal RNA", at positions 28 to 507 of the family's 1533-position model. The record is from RNAcentral.